UCUACAGUGUUGCACUUCAGGCUCUUCUUGAGUAUUGAGACAAGGUGAACUUAUCAGUAUUUAACUCCAGUAAGGCUAGUAACUCUACUUAUGGUUAGUGAGAGCAGAUCUCUGUGUGCAGUCAGUGUUACUAAAGUCACUGAUGACAGGACUUUGGAAUGCUGCGCACAGUCAAAGCGUCUUAAUGUUGAUUGCUAAAAAAUAGUUUGAGCAUGCAGCAGCCCAGCCUGUCUCCUCCGCCUUGCCUAGAGACACUGCAGCUCCGACAGCCAAGAGGUCUGUGUGUUUCCUGGGGAAACUACAGCUCAUAACCUGCUUUAUCAGCACUGCUAGCUAUAUCUCGUCAUCGUGGCCCAUGGACCUUCUACUGACCGGGGGCAACAUGUUUCGUCUCUGAGGCAACAACAACAGAAGCUCACAACCACCAACAUGUCCUGACUUGGCCAGACUUCGAGGAAAGAUGAUGAUGUUGAAGGAGGAGACCAACAGGACGGGAAGCCACAGCCAUUCAGUCUUCAUUCAUUACUGCAGCCCAGCCAGACACUAUUUGUGUUUACAGACCCAGACACCCCAAGGCAAUCCGAGCGCUCAGACCAGAGCAAUGGCGCAUGAACGCCCCAGCACAGAGAGCUGCUGUGAUCCAAACAGGGAGGAGGGUCUACAGAGGACGGAGAGGACAGAGAGGACAAUCAACAUCGUUUUUUUUUGGGAUGGGGGGGGAUGUAAUUCAUUCCCUCUGACAGCAGGAGCUGUGUCAUGCUGCAUACAGCAAUACAUUUUCAGAUUGCAACCACUUUCCCCAGUGGUGCUACACUGGAAUACAAACCAUCUCGUCAC
Long non-coding RNA from Acanthopagrus latus (yellowfin seabream), 837 nucleotides. RefSeq lists it as uncharacterized. The transcript is spliced from 3 exons. NCBI's taxonomy places the organism in Eukaryota, Metazoa, Chordata, Actinopteri, Spariformes, Sparidae. The record is from RefSeq and is a predicted model, not a curated record.